This 222-nucleotide ribosomal RNA is filed under the name uncultured bacterium. Its description in RNAcentral is "partial 16S ribosomal RNA". It matches the Rfam family "Bacterial small subunit ribosomal RNA", at positions 524 to 744 of the family's 1533-position model. The record is from RNAcentral.
UACGGGGGGGGCAAGCGUUGUUCGGAAUUACUGGGCGUAAAGGGCUCGUAGGCGGCCAACUAAGUCAGACGUGAAAUCCCUCGGCUUAACCGGGGAACUGCGUCUGAUACUGGAUGGCUUGAAUCCGGGAGAGGGAUGCGGAAUUCCAGGUGUAGCGGUGAAAUGCGUAGAUAUCUGGAGGAACACCGGUGGCGAAGGCGGCGAUCCUGGACCGGCAUUGAC